UACAGAGGGGGCAAGCGUUAUUCGGAAUUAUUGGGCGUAAAGGGCGCGUAGGCGGCUUGGCAAGUGGAAGGUGAAAUCCCUCGGCUUAACCGAGGAACUGCCCUCCAAACUGCUUCGCUUGAGACCGGGAGAGGUGAGUGGAAUUCCCAGUGUAGCGGUGAAAUGCGUAGAUAUUGGGAGGAACACCGGUGGCGAAAGCGCUCAUCUGGCCCAAUACUGACGCUGCAGCGCGAAAGCUAGGGGAGCAAACGGG
This 253-nucleotide ribosomal RNA is filed under the name uncultured prokaryote. RNAcentral describes it as "partial 16S ribosomal RNA". It matches the Rfam family "Bacterial small subunit ribosomal RNA", at positions 524 to 776 of the family's 1533-position model. The record is from RNAcentral.